AGCAGCCGCGGUAAUUCCAGCUCCAAUAGCGUAUAUUAAAGUUGUUGCAGUUAAAAAGCUCGUAGUUGAAUUUCGGGGUCAGCAGGUUGGUCGUGCCUCUGGUAUGCACUGGCCUUGCUGAUUCCUCCCUCUUGAUGAGCCGUAAUGCCAUUAAUUUGGUGUUGCGGGGAAUCAGGACUGUUACUUUGAAAAAAUUAGAGUGUUUAAAGCAGGCAAGCGCUUGAAUACAUUAGCAUGGAAUAAUGAAAUAGGACGUUCGAUCCUAUUUUGUGGUUUCUAGGAUUGACGUAAUGAUUAAUAGGGAUAGUUGGGGGCAUUAGUAUUCAAUUGUCAGAGGUGAAAUUCUUGGAUUUAUUGAAGACUAACUACUGCGAAAGCAUUUGCCAAGGAUGUUUUCAUUAAUCAAGAACGAAGUUAGGGGAUCGAAGACGAUCAGAUACCGUCGUAGUCUUAACCAUAAACUAUGCCGACUAGGGAUCGGAUGAUGUUAAUUUUUUAAUGACU
This 504-nucleotide ribosomal RNA is filed under the name uncultured fungus. RNAcentral's name for it is "SSU rRNA". It matches the Rfam family "Eukaryotic small subunit ribosomal RNA", at positions 569 to 1076 of the family's 1831-position model. Lineage: Eukaryota; Fungi. The record is from RNAcentral.